CUAACGAGGAUUUCCUUAGUAACGGCGAGUGAAAAGGAAAAAGCCCAACGCUGAAUCCAAUAGAUAUUUGUCUAUAUGGAAAUGUAGCGUAUAGGUGUAACUAUCCGUAACAUAUUUUUACACCCAAAGUCCCCUUGAGCGGGGCUACAGUCCAUAGAAGGUGCUAGACCUGUACGGGUGAAAAAAGUUACGGUAGGUUAUUCCUUGGAGUCGGGUUGUUUGAGAUUGCAGCCCAAAGAGGGUGGUAAACCUCAUCUAAGGCUAAAUACGACCACGAGACCGAUAGCAAACAAGUACCGUGAGGGAAAGUUGCAAAGAACUUUGAAGAGAGAGUUCAAGAGGGCGUGAAACCGCUGAGAUGGAAACGGAUAGAGUUAACGAAACUUAUCGGUAUUCAACCAAUCAAUUUAGCAAUCUUAAUUGAUUUAUUAUUCAUUAAUAUUUUUUUAUUAAUGAAUAAAAUGAUAUUUAAGAUAUGAAUGCUAAAUUUAUAAUAUAAUGAUUGGUGUAUUUAUCGAUGGUAUGCAUCGAGAGCUUCGUUUUAGCAUAUUAAUAUAGCUAAUUUAGUGGAUCAAUUAUUUCAAUUGAUAAUUGAAACCCUAAAUCUAUUGAAAUAUGUCUUAAAUGAAGUUUUAAUCCCAUAUGUGUAACUUUCACUUGAAAUAAUAGUGACAUGCAUCGAUUAUAAUUUUUGCUAAUUACAUUUACAUGUGGUCGCAUGCGACUUUAUCGGUAAAUGUUGAUGAAAUAAUUGGUAAUAUUAUAAUAUUGUAUGCAUUAUUAAAAGUUACAUCUCGAUGUGAACGUUAAUCACCUAUCUGACCCGUCUUGAAACACGGACCAAGGAGU
RNAcentral lists this ribosomal RNA (849 nucleotides) under Loa loa (African eye worm). RNAcentral's name for it is "eukaryotic LSU rRNA". It matches the Rfam family "Eukaryotic large subunit ribosomal RNA", at positions 65 to 674 of the family's 3401-position model. The record is from RNAcentral. Lineage: Eukaryota; Metazoa; Nematoda; Chromadorea; Rhabditida; Onchocercidae.